GACCAGACUCCUACGGGAGGCAGCAGUGAGGAAUAUUGGUCAAUGGGAGAGAUCCUGAACCAGCCAAGCCGCGUGAGGGAAGACGGCCCUAUGGGUUGUAAACCUCUUUUGUCGGAGAACAAAACCCGGGACGUGUCCCGGACUGCGUGUAUCCGAAGAAAAAGCAUCGGCUAACUCCGUGCCAGCAGCCGCGGUAAUACGGAGGAUGCGAGCGUUAUCCGGAUUUAUUGGGUUUAAAGGGUGCGUAGGCGGUCCGGAAAGCCAGCGGUAAAACCCGGGGGCUCACCCCCGGCGAGCCGUUGAAACUGUCGGACUAGAGACGGCGAGAAGUACGCGGAAUGCGCGGUGUAGCGGUGAAAUGCAUAGAUAUCACGCAGAACCCCGAUUGCGAAGGCAGCCUUCCGGCGCCCUACUGACGCUGAGGCACGAAAGUGCGGGGAUCGAACAGGAUUAGAUACCCCAGUA
Molecule: ribosomal RNA, 465 nt
Filed under: uncultured bacterium
Lineage: Bacteria
Description: partial 16S ribosomal RNA
Rfam family: Bacterial small subunit ribosomal RNA
Source: RNAcentral